This 73-nucleotide transfer RNA is filed under the name Gammaproteobacteria bacterium. RNAcentral describes it as "tRNA-Ala". It matches the Rfam family "tRNA". From Rfam's summary of the family: Transfer RNA (tRNA) molecules are approximately 80 nucleotides in length. Their secondary structure includes four short double-helical elements and three loops (D, anti-codon, and T loops). The record is from RNAcentral. Lineage: Bacteria; Pseudomonadati; Pseudomonadota; Gammaproteobacteria.
GGGCCUGUGGCGCAAUUGGUAGCGUACCUCCAUGGCAUGGAGGGGGUUGUCGGUUCGAAUCCGAUCAGGUCCA